UAUAAAAGCAAUUUCCAUUCUGUUGUGUUCUUUUUGCAGAUGGUGAUCUGAAACAGUUAACAGUGAUAACUCUUCGCUUUACUUAUUUGUGACUUAUCACUGCUGCAGAUGGAGAAACAGAACUUAUGGAUUACUUUCUAUUCCCUGAUUCUGAGCUGAGACUUCUCCUUAGACAAUACCUUGGCUUUCAUAUUUACGUCUCUAGUGCCGGAUGGUAGCUUGUGUUCAUGUGUGUACUAGAUUUGUACCUGUAAUAGUCAAGCACAACACUAUAUUUAAUAAUAACUGGUACCUACAGAGACCAAUGAACCUGAUUUUUAAGGCAAAAUUUGGAGCAAACCCAAAUACUGUUUGAAGAAUGUAUCUGUCUUGUCCAAUUUUGAAUACCCAUGAGUACACAUGAGUUCAACAGAGAUUGAGCCAAGGGGGUGACUCUAUUGGGGCUGAACUGCUAGGCUCCUGCCUGCUCUUGGGGAUUGUAUAAUCAAGCAG
Molecule: long non-coding RNA, 492 nt
Filed under: Marmota monax (woodchuck)
Lineage: Eukaryota; Metazoa; Chordata; Mammalia; Rodentia; Sciuridae
Source: RNAcentral